UACCGCCGGCCACUAGAGGGCAGCGUCUAAUUACCUGACCGGAUAUGCCACGCUGCCUUCCGUUAAUGUCAGCGUCCAUUUUAGUCUCGUCAUUCAUCCAUUCCACCUCGAGGCGAGAUGUUCAUCCACUCAUUCAUGGUGUCUUCAUCUCUGUCAUUAAACCCUUAAACUGA
Pseudoliparis swirei is the source of this 173-nucleotide long non-coding RNA. RefSeq lists it as uncharacterized. Lineage: Eukaryota; Metazoa; Chordata; Actinopteri; Perciformes; Liparidae. The record is from RefSeq and is a predicted model, not a curated record. The transcript has 2 exons.